UAGCCUUUGUAGAGCUGUUUUAAAGCUGACAUAGCUGUAUACCAGUAGCAGUGAAUAGUCAUCAGGAAGGGAGAGUGGGUUGCACACUCACUCUUCCCAUUCUGCUUGGACAGCUCCCAAAGUGAGCGGCGCUGGCAGAUGAGGCGGUAUGGCCAGGCAUCUGGAGUUGCACUCAUUUAGUGUAUUUUUUUCUGCUUACUUAUGAAAUGCAAGCCACAAAUUAAAGCUGUCUCUCUUAUGGCUGGAACCCCACUGGAGGCAUCAGUUCACAUGCCACGUGUGCUUCCUCAGAUGUGAGUUCCCCUGUCAGAGUUUCACAAGGGUAUGCAAUUUGCACCUCACUGCACCUGGAAUCAGUCACACUUUUCAACGUCUUGUUUUAAAAGGAAUCUAGAUGAGAUGCAUGCAAACAGUAGAAACCACAGCUUUCCAAGCCACAGUGCUAAACAUUUCUUCUUCAGAGGACAAGGUACCUGUGCUCGGUGGUUCUUAAGGCAUUUGGAGAAAAUGGGUCAAUGUGUAUGUAUGGGAACAUCAAUACCUGAGAGACUCAAGCACUGAAAUGUCCCUUCAGGCGCUGUGAUAUACAACAAGACAUCCAUCAUUUUAAGCAAACUGCCUUCGUAGCAAGAAUUAUUUGCCACCUCUGCAAUCAAACAUGCAGAUCUCAGAUCAGCCUCAUCAGUCAUCUUUGGACUCAUGGAUGA
Molecule: long non-coding RNA, 707 nt
Organism: Alligator sinensis (Chinese alligator)
Lineage: Eukaryota; Metazoa; Chordata; Crocodylia; Alligatoridae
Exons: 3
Source: RefSeq, a predicted model, not a curated record